RNAcentral lists this long non-coding RNA (750 nucleotides) under Homo sapiens (human). RNAcentral describes it as "non-protein coding lnc-C1D-14:3". The record is from RNAcentral. Lineage: Eukaryota; Metazoa; Chordata; Mammalia; Primates; Hominidae.
UACUCCCUUGAAUUCCAGGCUCAUAUAUCCAGCUUCCUUCUUGAUAUAUCCAGUUGCAUAUUAAUAAGGACUGUGACAUUUUCAAAGCAUGUCUUGACUUCCGCACAAUCCCUGCCCAGUUACCUCUUAAAAUGCCCACUCAUACUUUACAUUCUCAAAUGUGUUUCUGUCCUUAGUGUUUCUACAUUCUCAAAUGUGUUUCUGUCCUUAGUGUUUCUACAUUCUCAAAUGUGUUUCUGUACAGUCCAGUGAAGACUGUACCAUCUAUUCAGUGGCUUAAGCCAAAGCCUUGAAAGUAAUACUUCUAUCACAUCCUCCUCACUGAUUUGGCCCACCAUGAUCCUAAUGCAAACCAUCAUCAUGUCUUUUCUAAUCCACUGCAAUAGCCUGUUAAAUGAUGUUCCCAUUUUUCAGAAUGAAAUAAAUCAGAAGGUCUGAUUGAGAUCUCAGUUUAAAAGCCUGAAAGUCUAAGAGACUAUGAUAUCCAUUUAGGAGACCUGAACAUCUUACAUAUUUUGGAACUUUUCUGGGGACCAAAGUGAUCCAGACCCAGGUGUUUUGUUGCCAUUGCUUUUGGAGUUUUAGUCACAAAGUCUUUGCCCAUGCCUAUGUCCUAAAUCAUAUUGCCUAGUUUUUCUUCUAGGGUUUUUAUGGUUUCGGGUUUUACAUUUAAGCCUUUAAUGCAUCUUGAGUUAAGUUUUGUAUAAGGACACACUUCUUUUUCUUCUAUUUUCUAUUUUCAUUUUGGAA